This 74-nucleotide transfer RNA is filed under the name Deltaproteobacteria bacterium. RNAcentral's name for it is "tRNA-Gln". It matches the Rfam family "tRNA". From Rfam's summary of the family: Transfer RNA (tRNA) molecules are approximately 80 nucleotides in length. The record is from RNAcentral. Lineage: Bacteria; Pseudomonadati; Myxococcota; Myxococcia.
UCGGGAGUCGUUCAAGGGUAGGACGUCGGUCUUUGGAACCGAUAACGGUGGUUCGAAUCCACCCUCCCGAGCCA